This 205-nucleotide ribosomal RNA is filed under the name uncultured bacterium. RNAcentral's name for it is "partial 16S ribosomal RNA". It matches the Rfam family "Bacterial small subunit ribosomal RNA", at positions 328 to 538 of the family's 1533-position model. The record is from RNAcentral.
ACGCUCGACACCUACGGGAGGUAGCAGUGGGGGAAGUAUUGCACAAUGGGGGAAACCCGUCGAUGCAGCGACGCCGCGUGAGCGAAGAAGUAUCUCGGUAUGUAAAGCUCUAUCAGCAGGGAAGAAAAUGACGGUACCUGACUAAGAAGCCCCGGCUAACUACGUGCCAGCAGCCGACGGUAAUCUGAGGCGGCGUGGCGAAGGC